GAAUGGAACCACUCCCUAUGAGCCUAUGGGGGUCUUUUUCUUUCAAACCUCCACACUGUCCUACAUCUCAUUCCUCAGCUGAAAGGCUUCAUAGCUGGGGCCUGGAAUCGUCUGAAUCUGCCCAUUCGACUACAUGUGGAUUCAAUGAAGAGAAUAUUUAAGAAGGUAGAACAGUCCUAUAAUCCCAACCCUUAAGAAACUGAAGCAGAAGCCAGUCUGGACCAAACAGCAAGAGCCUAUAUCAAGAAACUCAAAACCAUUAAAAAUAAAAGGACACUUGACAUCUGGCCAAAA
This is a non-coding RNA of Peromyscus maniculatus bairdii (prairie deer mouse), 294 nucleotides long. The record is from RefSeq and is a predicted model, not a curated record. NCBI's taxonomy places the organism in Eukaryota, Metazoa, Chordata, Mammalia, Rodentia, Cricetidae.